This 703-nucleotide ribosomal RNA is filed under the name Streptomyces sp. L1787. RNAcentral describes it as "bacterial SSU rRNA". It matches the Rfam family "Bacterial small subunit ribosomal RNA", at positions 24 to 744 of the family's 1533-position model. Lineage: Bacteria; Bacillati; Actinomycetota; Actinomycetes; Kitasatosporales; Streptomycetaceae. The record is from RNAcentral.
UCAGGACGAACGCUGGCGGCGUGCUUAACACAUGCAAGUCGAACGAUGAACCACUUCGGUGGGGAUUAGUGGCGAACGGGUGAGUAACACGUGGGCAAUCUGCCCUUCACUCUGGGACAAGCCCUGGAAACGGGGUCUAAUACCGGAUANCACUCCNNCNGGCAUNNGUGGGGGUUGAAAGCUCCGGCGGUGAAGGAUGAGCCCGCGGCCUAUCAGCUUGUUGGUGAGGUAANGGCUCACCAAGGCGACGACGGGUAGCCGGCCUGAGAGGGCGACCGGCCACACUGGGACUGAGACACGGCCCAGACUCCUACGGGAGGCAGCAGUGGGGAAUAUUGCACAAUGGGCGCAAGCCUGAUGCAGCGACGCCGCGUGAGGGAUGACGGCCUUCGGGUUGUAAACCUCUUUCAGCAGGGAAGAAGCGCAAGUGACGGUACCUGCAGAAGAAGCGCCGGCUAACUACGUGCCAGCAGCCGCGGUAAUACGUAGGGCGCAAGCGUUGUCCGGAAUUAUUGGGCGUAAAGAGCUCGUAGGCGGCUUGUCACGUCGGGUGUGAAAGCCCGGGGCUUAACCCCGGGUCUGCAUUCGAUACGGGCUNGCUNGAGUGUGGUAGGGGAGAUCGGAAUUCCUGGUGUAGCGGUGAAAUGCGCAGAUAUCAGGAGGAACACCGGUGGCGAAGGCGGAUCUCUGGGCCAUUACUGAC